UGGGGAGUCGCCAAGUGGUAAGGCAGCGGGUUUUGAUCCCGCCAUUCCCAGGUUCGAAUCCUGGCUCCCCAACCA
RNAcentral lists this transfer RNA (75 nucleotides) under Nevskiaceae bacterium. RNAcentral's name for it is "Sinobacteraceae bacterium tRNA-Gln". It matches the Rfam family "tRNA". From Rfam's summary of the family: Transfer RNA (tRNA) molecules are approximately 80 nucleotides in length. Their secondary structure includes four short double-helical elements and three loops (D, anti-codon, and T loops). Further hydrogen bonds mediate the characteristic L-shaped molecular structure. tRNAs have two regions of fundamental functional importance: the anti-codon, which is responsible for specific mRNA codon recognition, and the 3' end, to which the tRNAs corresponding amino acid is attached (by aminoacyl-tRNA synthetases). tRNAs cope with the degeneracy of the genetic code in two manners: having more than one tRNA (with a specific anti-codon) for a particular amino acid; and 'wobble' base-pairing, i.e. permitting non-standard base-pairing at the 3rd anti-codon position. RNAcentral also lists the same sequence under 2 other names. The record is from RNAcentral. Lineage: Bacteria; Pseudomonadati; Pseudomonadota; Gammaproteobacteria; Nevskiales; Nevskiaceae.